This 340-nucleotide ribosomal RNA is filed under the name uncultured archaeon. RNAcentral's name for it is "partial 16S ribosomal RNA". It matches the Rfam family "Archaeal small subunit ribosomal RNA", at positions 133 to 475 of the family's 1478-position model. The record is from RNAcentral.
CGGGAAACUGGGGAUAAUAUCGGAUAGGUAAAAGACACUGGAAUGUUCUUUUAUCUAAAGCUUUUGCGCCUGAGGAUGGGCCUGCGCCCGAUUAGGUUGUUGGUGGGGUAAUGGCCCACCAAGCCUGCGAUCGGUACGGGCAGUGGGAGCUGUAGCCCGGAGUUGGGGACUUAGACAAGGCCCCAGGCCCUACGGGGCGCAGCAGGCGCGAAACCUCUGCAAUGCGGGAAACCGUGACAGGGGGAUCCCAAGUGCUCAUGCAUUGCAUGGGCUGUUCUUUGGUCUAAGUAACCAGAGGAGUAAGGGCUGGGCAAGACCGGUGCCAGCCGCCGCGGUAACA